Molecule: small nuclear RNA, 23 nt
Filed under: Arabidopsis thaliana (thale cress)
Lineage: Eukaryota; Viridiplantae; Streptophyta; Magnoliopsida; Brassicales; Brassicaceae
Description: snRNA_06481
Source: RNAcentral
ACUCGAUCGUACCACAAACUCUU